Molecule: ribosomal RNA, 1371 nt
Filed under: uncultured bacterium
Lineage: Bacteria
Description: bacterial SSU rRNA
Rfam family: Bacterial small subunit ribosomal RNA
Source: RNAcentral
GAUGAACGCUGGCGGCGUGCCUAAUACAUGCAAGUCGAGCGAACGGACGAGAAGCUUGCUUCUCUGAUGUUAGCGGCGGACGGGUGAGUAACACGUGGAUAACCUACCUAUAAGACUGGGAUAACUUCGGGAAACCGGAGCUAAUACCGGAUAAUAUUUUGAACCGCAUGGUUCAAAAGUGAAAGACGGUCUUGCUGUCACUUAUAGAUGGAUCCGCGCUGCAUUAGCUAGUUGGUAAGGUAACGGCUUACCAAGGCAACGAUGCAUAGCCGACCUGAGAGGGUGAUCGGCCACACUGGAACUGAGACACGGUCCAGACUCCUACGGGAGGCAGCAGUAGGGAAUCUUCCGCAAUGGGCGAAAGCCUGACGGAGCAACGCCGCGUGAGUGAUGAAGGUCUUCGGAUCGUAAAACUCUGUUAUUAGGGAAGAACAUAUGUGUAAGUAACUGUGCACAUCUUGACGGUACCUAAUCAGAAAGCCACGGCUAACUACGUGCCAGCGGCCGCGGUAAUACGUAGGUGGCAAGCGUUAUCCGGAAUUAUUGGGCGUAAAGCGCGCGUAGGCGGUUUUUUAAGUCUGAUGUGAAAGCCCACGGCUCACCGUGGAGGGUCAUUGGAAACUGGAAAACUUGAGUGCAGAAGAGGAAAGUGGAAUUCCAUGUGUAGCGGUGAAAUGCGCAGAGAUAUGGAGGAACACCAGUGGCGAAGGCGACUUUCUGGUCUGUAACUGACGCUGAUGUGCGAAAGCGUGGGGAUCAAACAGGAUUAGAUACCCUGGUAGUCCACGCCGUAAACGAUGAGUGCUAAGUGUUAGGGGGUUUCCGCCCCUUAGUGCUGCAGCUAACGCAUUAAGCACUCCGCCUGGGGAGUACGACCGCAAGGUUGAAACUCAAAGGAAUUGACGGGGACCCGCACAAGCGGUGGAGCAUGUGGUUUAAUUCGAAGCAACGCGAAGAACCUUACCAAAUCUUGACAUCCUUUGACAACUCUAGAGAUAGAGCUUUCCCCUUCGGGGGACAAAGUGACAGGUGGUGCAUGGUUGUCGUCAGCUCGUGUCGUGAGAUGUUGGGUUAAGUCCCGCAACGAGCGCAACCCUUAAGCUUAGUUGCCAUCAUUAAGUUGGGCACUCUAAGUUGACUGCCGGUGACAAACCGGAGGAAGGUGGGGAUGACGUCAAAUCAUCAUGCCCCUUAUGAUUUGGGCUACACACGUGCUACAAUGGACAAUACAAAGGGCAGCGAAACCGCGAGGUCAAGCAAAUCCCAUAAAGUUGUUCUCAGUUCGGAUUGUAGUCUGCAACUCGACUACAUGAAGCUGGAAUCGCUAGUAAUCGUAGAUCAGCAUGCUACGGUGAAUACGUUCCCGGGUCU